UUGACAGCCCUGGGUUCUGAAGCCUUGUAUUUAUCCACAGAACAGAUACAGAACUAGCAGUAAGUGUUCAGGCUUCCCUUUUCUGCCUUAUCGAUAUGCCUCCGCCCAGACCUAGAAGGACAAUCUCUGGGAGUGAGAAGAUUGUUCAGAGUUUCAUGCUUUUGUAAGGAUUGAUCCA
Unclassified non-coding RNA from Chelonoidis abingdonii (Abingdon island giant tortoise), 178 nucleotides. Lineage: Eukaryota; Metazoa; Chordata; Testudines; Testudinidae. The record is from Ensembl.